UCCUCCGCGUGACGGUAUCAUCCGAACCUCCCCAGGGCAGGAAUGCAGCAAGGAUAAGGGUGCGCUGCCGGGUGCGCGGAG
Molecule: signal recognition particle RNA, 81 nt
Filed under: Schaalia odontolytica
Lineage: Bacteria; Bacillati; Actinomycetota; Actinomycetes; Actinomycetales; Actinomycetaceae
Also listed under: 2 other names
Description: Bacterial small signal recognition particle RNA
Rfam family: Bacterial small signal recognition particle RNA
About the family: The signal recognition particle (SRP) is a universally conserved ribonucleoprotein involved in the co-translational targeting of proteins to membranes. Archaeal SRP consists of a 7S RNA and homologues of the eukaryotic SRP19 and SRP54 proteins. In most bacteria, the SRP consists of a 4.5S RNA and the Ffh protein (a homologue of the eukaryotic SRP54 protein).
Source: RNAcentral